UGGGGAAUAUUGCACAAUGGGGGAAACCCUGAUGCAGCGACGCCGCGUGGAGGAUGACGGCCUUCGGGUUGUAAACUCCUUUUGUCAGGGACAAUGGUGAUGGUACCUGACGAAUAAGCCACGGCUAACUCUGUGCCAGCAGCCGCGGUAAGACAGAGGUGGCGAGCGUUGUUCGGAAUUACUGGGCUUAAAGGGCGCGUAGGCGGUGGUGUAAGUCUGGGGUGGAAUGCUACAGCUCAACUGUAGAGCUGCCUUGGAAACUGCAUUACUUGAGUCGGUGAGGGGAAGCGGAAUUCCUGGUGUAGCGGUGAAAUGCGUAGAUAUCAGGAGGAAGGUCUGUGGCGAAGGCGGCCUUCUGGCACUUGACUGACGCUGAGGCGCGAAAGCGUGGGGAGCAAAC
RNAcentral lists this ribosomal RNA (400 nucleotides) under uncultured bacterium. Its description in RNAcentral is "bacterial SSU rRNA". It matches the Rfam family "Bacterial small subunit ribosomal RNA", at positions 355 to 773 of the family's 1533-position model. The record is from RNAcentral.